RNAcentral lists this ribosomal RNA (154 nucleotides) under Aspitates ochrearia (yellow belle). Its description in RNAcentral is "partial 16S ribosomal RNA". Lineage: Eukaryota; Metazoa; Arthropoda; Insecta; Lepidoptera; Geometridae. The record is from RNAcentral.
GACUUUUAAAAUGUAAGAUAUUUUAGCACGAACGGACCGCCUAUUUUAGUUAAAUGAUUAUUUAUUUCUGAAUUUUAGUAAAAAAAAAAAUAAAAAAUUAUUUUUUAAUAGUUAAUAUUAUAUAUAUAUAUAUAUAUAUAUAUAUAUAUAUAUU